GAAAUGCGAUAAGUAAUGUGAAUUGCAGAAUUCAGUGAAUCACCGAAUCUUUGAACGCACAUUGCGCCCGCCAGUAUUCUGGCGGGCAUGCCUGUUCGAGCGUCAUUUCAACCAUCAAGCCCCCGGGCUUGUGUUGGGGACCUGCGGCUGCCGCAGGCCCCGAAAACCAGUGGCGGACUCGCUGUCACACCGGGCGUAGUAGAUUUUUCGUCUCGCCCAGGGCGUGCUGCGGGUUCCGGCCGUUAAAAAGCCUCUCUUUUAACCCAAGGUUGACCUCGGAUCAGGUAGGAAGACCCGCUGAACUUAAGC
RNAcentral lists this unclassified non-coding RNA (309 nucleotides) under plant metagenome. RNAcentral describes it as "partial contains 5.8S ribosomal RNA, internal transcribed spacer 2, and large subunit ribosomal RNA". The stretch from base 1 to 105 matches the Rfam family "5.8S ribosomal RNA", at positions 50 to 154 of the family's 154-position model. The record is from RNAcentral.